AGAGUUUGAUCCUGGCUCAGGAUGAACGCUGGCGGCGUGCCUAAUACAUGCAAGUCGAACGCACCAUUUCGGUGGUGAGUGGCGAACGGGUGAGUAACACGUAGAUAACCUGCCCUUAAGACGAGGAUAACCAUUGGAAACGAUGGCUAAGACUGGAUAGGAAUAUUAGAGGCAUCUCUGAUAUUUUAAAAGACCUAGCAAUAGGUAUGCUUAAGGAGGGGUCUGCGGCGCAUUAGUUAGUUGGUGGGGUGAUGGCCUACCAAGACAAUGAUGCGUAGCCGGACUGAGAGGUUGAACGGCCACAUUGGGACUGAGAGACGGCCCAAACUCCUACGGGAGGCAGCAGUAGGGAAUUUUCGGCAAUGGGGGCAACCCUGACCGAGCAACGCCGCGUGAAUGACGAAGUACUUCGGUAUGUAAAGUUCUUUUAUCAGGGAAGAAUGGCUAGUGGAAAAGCUAGAUUGACGGUACCUGAUGAAUAAGCCCCGGCUAACUAUGUGCCAGCAGCCGCGGUAAUACAUAGGGGGCAAGCGUUAUCCGGAAUUAUUGGGCGUAAAGGGUGCGUAGGUGGUUAGUUAAGUCUUUGGUAUAAGUGCAGUGCUUAACGCUGUGACGCUAAAGAAACUGGCUGACUUGAGUGUGGUAGAGGCAAGUGGAAUUCCAUGUGUAGCGGUAAAAUGCGUAAAUAUAUGGAGGAACACCAGUGGCGAAGGCGGCUUGCUGGGCCACAACUGACACUGAGGCACGAAAGCGUGGGGAGCAAACAGGAUUAGAUACCCUGGUAGUC
RNAcentral lists this ribosomal RNA (787 nucleotides) under uncultured bacterium. RNAcentral describes it as "bacterial SSU rRNA". It matches the Rfam family "Bacterial small subunit ribosomal RNA", at positions 8 to 795 of the family's 1533-position model. The record is from RNAcentral.